GUGGAGAUUGUGCCAUUAUACUUCAGCCUGGGUGACAGAGCGAAACUCCGUCUCAAAACAAAUAAAUGAAGGUACAUCUCUGCUUCCUUGUCUCUUGGGCCAUCAGUCACGUAGGCACUUUGGGCGAGGCACUGAGCAGCACCAAGGGCAUCUUCCGGCGUGUUCUGGGAGGCUUCCCCAUCUCCCUGAAAUGAGUUUAUAUAAUCUCCUAGUAAAAGUCAAUGCUGUUUCGCUGUGUGUUUCAUGGAGUUUGGUUCCCUGGCCAGCUGGUCUGUGGGAACCAGAGCAGUUUGUGCCUAGAUUCAUUGCUGUCUCUUUUCUGGGCGACCAGCACGUUAUGUGAUUAGAUGGGAAUAGAUAUGUUUUGGUAAAGGGAUCCCUGAUUUAGUUGCAAAAAGCCAAGCCAUUGGCUCCCUUUGACCUGUUCUUCUGGAAAUAACCUCUUCUUGAGGGGUGGGCACCACCUUGGUAUUACCUACACCCCAGUGUUCUUGGGCCACAGCUUUCUUGCCCAUGAGGUCUGCAGAGCUGCCGUCCUGGUUUCUGAGGAAGGUGAUUUUGUUGAUCAGAGUUCAGAUGGUGUUCUCCCAGAUAUUCGAAAAUGGAGGGCCUUGUCCAUCUCAAAGCGGUGGUUGGGGAUGCAACUGAUGUUGCCAGCCAGGCGUUGGGGAUCAGCCAAGGCUUUUGAUAAAGUUGGAAGAACUUCAAGCUCCUUUGGACCAACCUUCCUUCCUUCCUUCCUUUCUUUCUCUCUUCCCUCCUCCCUCCCUCCCUUCCUUCCCUCUUUCCUUCCUUUCCUCUUUCCUAAAUAGAGACAGGGUCUUUCUCUGUCCCUCAGGCUGGAGGGCAGUGGUGUACUUAUAGCUCACUGCAGCCUCAAACUCCUGGGCUCAGCGAUCCUUGCACUUCAGGCUCCGGAGAAGCUGGCACUAUAGGUGCAUACCACCAUGCCUGGCUAAUUUUGUUAUUUUUAAAAUUUUUUUGUAGAGACAGGGUCUUUCUAUGUUGCCCAUACUGGUCUCGAACUUCUGGGCUCAAGCAAUCCUGCCUCAGCCUCCCAAAGUGCUGGGAUUAUAGGCGUGAGCCACUGCACCCAGCCAGAUUUUUAUUUCUGUUCGGGGAGAGUGGCUUCCUUUCGUUUCUCCUGUCCAGGGUGUCAUUGCCUAUGCCAGCCUGAGUGUGUGGGCCUCCUGUGGGAAUCGCCACACUGUCCUGUUAGAGCAAAGCUUGCAGCCAACUCUUGCCCCCAGUGCUGCAAUGCAACGCAGAUAUUUUUUAGCUUUGUUUUAAAAAUAAUAUGGCAGAUGGCGAAGCAGGACCUGACUCUCGCCUUCGCCCUAUGUCUUUUCGUCUGCUCUUUCUCCACCGAGUCCUGUCCCUCAGCAUUUGCUCCUCCUGUUCCUUCUACUUCCAUCGCUCUGCAUUUUCACCAUUUGUCUUUUAGAAGACAUGGUUUAACAUUUUUUCUAAGUUAUAUAAAUAAUAUAAAAAUACAUUUCUGAAAGAAUAUAAAUAAUGCACAACUAUCUAGAGUACAAAAGACAAGUGUUCCCUCCUAGCGAUCCUGCUGUGAAGCGUUUGGUAUAUACCCUUCCAGGUAUUUUUUAUGCAUUUGCAUAUAGGCAGGCAUAUAUAUACACACACACAUGCCUAACGCACAUCUAUUUUUAACACAAAUGGGAUAAUUUAUACUGUUCAGAUUGUUUUGAGACUUUGCAUUCUUCAGUCAUGAAUAUAUGUCGACUUCCUCCUCUUUCACACUCUUCCAAAUCUUCCCCAUCCUUCAAGGUGUCAUUCAUUCUUUGAGAAAGCCCCUAGUGGCGCUGUCAAUAGUGAGUUUUGGUAGGUACGUUUCUAAUGUUCUUUAAAUUCCUGUAAUCCUCUUCCCCUCUGGACCGCUCACUUUGUCUAAUCUUAUGUUGUUCUUUGUUUAUUCAUUAGUUAAUUAAUUCCGUUGAGCUACACUCAGUUAUUUGGCCCCCAAGAAGUUUGUCGUCGGUGGAAGACACAGACAUACUAAACAUACCUUGCCCUGGAGGUUCAUGAGGGGGUGGUAGAUGGCAGGCUGUUGAUGCACAGUAGUUGAAUGAAAGAAUGAGCAAUGAGUAAGAAAUAGAAUUCUGUAGGUAUCAAGUAUAAUGAUGGCACAAUGGUGGGGUUAGUUACCUGCUGGGGUAUGUCAUGGAAGGUUUCAAAGAGGAGACGUUUGACUUGAGUUUUUAAGGAUGAGUUGAAGUUGAUCAGGAAGAUGGGCCUGUUAGGCAGCGGGAAUGGUGGUAUCAAUCGACAUGGUUUGCUCACAAUAUUCUCAUUGCUAGUUUCAUGGAUGUAUCCUGUGGCUUCUCCAUGAGAUAAUGAAGUUCUUGAAAGUGGGAGUGUCAUUUACACUCCUACCUGCAGACAGAGAUGACAAGACUAAGGCACAGAUAAGCACCUGAUACAGAGUAUAAAGCAUUGGCUGAAUGCGUGAAUCUUAGUUCCCGCUUUUCACCUUAGCAUCCUGACUACCGAUGCCCUGAACACACAUGGUGAAUUUGGCUGAAAUGAAGCAUUCUGUGCCUGCCCCACAAACCACCAAGGGACUGUGGGUUUAUUUGUCUCAAGAUGGUCAACACUGCUGUUUUCACAUUUUACUUGCUGUCAAAUAUAAAGAGAUAUCAUAUGUUGCCCGCCUCUGGUUUUCCUGAUGUCUCAAUUUAAGUGGUUUCCAAUUUGGGUAUGAAAUUAUCCAUCAGUCACAGAGAGAACUGGUGCCUUCAGCAGUGGCUGUUGGAAUAAGCCAGGGCUUAACUGGGGAAGCUAAUGGUGGAGGAGCAAGGGCUGGCUAGCAGAGGUUUGGCCCUGCUCCUCCAGGUCCCCUCUGGAAUACCACUUCUCCCCACUGGAUGGUGGGCUGUGUCUAGCCCAUUCCCCAAGAUCCAGUUUGGAUGACACUUCACCUAUUUAUUCAUUGGAUGCUAAUAGUGUCUUCCCUACGCCAGGGACUGACCUAGGCAUCAGGGAUGCAGAGAGCAGGCCUUGGUCACUGUCCCCUGGACUCACACAGUCUGCAGCCUGGUGGAGGAGACACCAUGUGAGCUGAGCUAUAAUGACUGAAUCCAGUCCCUCACCAGAUGCAGUAACCUACAAGUGUCUGUUGCUCAGAAUGUCUUUAUUUUGAUCAGUCACUUCCACAGAGGACUGCCCAAAGAGACGCCUCUGUCCAGCUCUCGGGUCUGUCUGUGUGGAGUACGAGGCGUGUAGCCCUGGUGAUCGUAGAGUGAUGUUAGAUGUCUCAGGGUCAGGUGUUGAAUAAUAUGGGCUCUGCUUGGGAAGGUGUUCCCCUUUUCCUUUUGGCCAUGCUGGUGAGGUCUGAGGUUGAUGCUAGCCCGGCUUUAACUCUUGGAGACCCUGACAAAGUGAGUGUGGGCCUCUGGGUCAUGGUGCCGUCGGCCACUGGGAAGUUCCGAGCUCUCAGAUGCGGCUGCAGUAGACUCCGCUCAGAAAGUCCAGACGCCUUGAGGCCAAGGCUCACCCCCAGAUCAGCUGCAGGAGAAUCUCUUCAAUGGGACCUGGGCACCUCUCACUGUUUUGCAUGAUUCUGAUGCUCCUGAGGUUGAGAACCACUAACACUUAGGAUUUAAUGACAUUUGGCUUUCAUCAGAUCCAGUUGCCUUCUAGUGAUACUGGCUUUCUGUUUGCUAGAGUGAUACAUACUUUCCUUUUUAAGUAAAUGUUAUAAGUGAAAAAAGAUGAAUGGUGUAAUCCCACCCCAGGGUCACUUGAGCCCAGGAGCUCCAGACUAGCCUGGGCAACAUAGUGAGACCCUGUCUUAAAAAAAAAUGCAUGGAUUGAAAAGGCAACGUUAUUCAGCAACAGUGCAAGUGGGAGGCGAGUGUAGCAAGAAUCCUGGUGGUGCUUUGUGAUGCACCGGGGUUUGGGGAACACUCCUCUAGAUUUUAUCCAUGGAUUGCAGUUUUAGCCCCCAUUAUUUUGGCGCCCAUAGACUCAUUGGGAAUGAUUUGACAUUAUGCCAAUGACUCAUUAAGUGCAAACAGCAGAAAUAGCUAAAUGAAACAAUUUAGAAAUAGCUAAAAGGUACAAUUUAGUGAUUGUAUCUUUCUCUGUGUAACAAAUUGUCCCAACACUGAGAGGAAAAAGGACAUUUGGCAGUGACAGCAUUUACCAUCUCACAGUUUCUGUGGGCCUGGAGUCCUCGUGCCACUCAGCUGGUUCUCUCUCCAGGGUCUCUCCCAGGCUGCAACCACAGCCUCAGCCGGUGACUGCAGACACCUCAGGGCUCUCCUAGGGAAGGAUCUGCGUCCAAGCUAACCCGUGUGGUUGUUGGCAGGAUUCAGUUUCUUACGGACUCUUGGACUGAGGGCCUCAGUUACUCUCCAGCUGUUGACUGGAGGCCACCCUCGGUUUCUUGCCUAUCCAGGCCUCUUCACUGCGGCCAAAGAAAGCAAAAGAGAGAGACCAACUAAAUGGGAAUCAGGGUGUUUUGUAGUCUAAGCUUUAGAGGUAGCAUUCUGGCCGGGAGCAGUGGCUCACGCCUGUAAUUCUAGCAUUUUGGGAGGCUAAGGUGGGGGUGCAUUUGAGGUCAGGAGUUCGAGACCAGCCUGGCCAACAUGGUGAAGCCCCAUCUCUACUAAAAACACAAAAAUUAGCCAGGCGGUAGUUACACACGCCUGUGAUCCCAGCUACUCAGGAGGCUGAGGCAGGAGAAUCACUUGAGCCCGGGAGGCGGAGGUUGCAGUGAGCCAAGAUCGACCCACUACAUUCCAGUCUGGGUGACAGAGCGAGACUCCGUCUCAAAAAAAAAAAAAAA
Molecule: long non-coding RNA, 4810 nt
Organism: Homo sapiens (human)
Lineage: Eukaryota; Metazoa; Chordata; Mammalia; Primates; Hominidae
Exons: 3
Source: RefSeq, a predicted model, not a curated record